RNAcentral lists this ribosomal RNA (536 nucleotides) under Malassezia restricta. RNAcentral describes it as "LSU rRNA". It matches the Rfam family "Eukaryotic large subunit ribosomal RNA", at positions 58 to 598 of the family's 3401-position model. Lineage: Eukaryota; Fungi; Basidiomycota; Malasseziomycetes; Malasseziales; Malasseziaceae. The record is from RNAcentral.
AAAGAAACUAACAAGGAUUCCCCUAGUAACGGCGAGCGAAGCGGGAAGAGCUCAAAUUUGAAAGCUGGCGUCUUCGGCGUCCGCGUUGUAAUCUCGAGACGUGUUUUCCGUGCGGCUCUAUGGACAAGUCCCUUGGAACAGGGCAUCGUAGAGGGUGAAAAUCCCGUACUUGCCAUGGAAGUACCGUGCUUUGUGAUACACGCUCCAAGAGUCGAGUAGUUUGGGAUUGCUGCUCAAAGUGGGUGGUAGACUCCAUCUAAAGCUAAAUAUCGGGGAGAGACCGAUAGCGAACAAGUACCGUGAGGGAAAGAUGAAAAGCACUUUGGAAAGAGAGUUAAAAGUACGUGAAAUUGUCGAAAGGGAAGCACUUGAAGUCAGCCAUGCUGCUUGAGACUCAGCCUGGCUUUUGCUUGGUGUAUUUCUCGGUAGCAAGCCAGCAUUGGUUUGUGUCGUCGGAGAAGCGUAUGGGGAAUGUGGCAUCCUCGGAUGUGUUAUAGCCCUGUGCAGGAUACGACGACGUAGACCAAGGAACGCAG